UAGUGAGUUUGAUCCUGGCUCAGAACGAACGCUGGCGGCAUGCCUAACACAUGCAAGUCGAACGAGACCUUCGGGUCUAGUGGCGCACGGGUGCGUAACGCGUGGGAAUCUGCCCUUGGGUUCGGAAUAACAGUUAGAAAUGACUGCUAAUACCGGAUAAUGACUUCGGUCCAAAGAUUUAUCGCCCAGGGAUGAGCCCGCGUAGGAUUAGCUAGUUGGUGGGGGUAAAGGCCUACCAAGGCGACGAUCCUUAGCUGGUCUGAGAGGAUGAUCAGCCACACUGGGACUGAGACACGGCCCAGACUCCUACGGGGAGGCAGCAGUGGGGAACUUUUCCGCAAUGGGCGCAAGCCUGACGGAGCAAGACCGCGUG
Molecule: ribosomal RNA, 373 nt
Filed under: uncultured Novosphingobium sp.
Lineage: Bacteria; Pseudomonadati; Pseudomonadota; Alphaproteobacteria; Sphingomonadales; Sphingomonadaceae
Description: bacterial SSU rRNA
Rfam family: Bacterial small subunit ribosomal RNA
Source: RNAcentral